GUACUUACUUCGAGAGUACUUAUACUAAAAUUGAAACGCUGUACAGACAAUUAUCGUGAUUUCUGCGUAAGAAAGAUACCCAUAUUCGUGAAGCUUUCCAUAUUUUC
Molecule: small nuclear RNA, 107 nt
Organism: Octopus sinensis (East Asian common octopus)
Lineage: Eukaryota; Metazoa; Mollusca; Cephalopoda; Octopoda; Octopodidae
Source: RefSeq, a predicted model, not a curated record